UGCCGGAUGGUGUAGUGGUAACACGUCUGAUUCUGGAUCAGAAGACCCUAGGUUCGACCCCUAGUCCGGCAGCCA
RNAcentral lists this transfer RNA (75 nucleotides) under Chloroflexota bacterium. Its description in RNAcentral is "Chloroflexi bacterium tRNA-Gln". It matches the Rfam family "tRNA". From Rfam's summary of the family: Transfer RNA (tRNA) molecules are approximately 80 nucleotides in length. Their secondary structure includes four short double-helical elements and three loops (D, anti-codon, and T loops). The record is from RNAcentral. Lineage: Bacteria; Bacillati; Chloroflexota.